This 132-nucleotide ribosomal RNA is filed under the name Acidimicrobiales bacterium. RNAcentral's name for it is "partial 23S ribosomal RNA". It matches the Rfam family "Bacterial large subunit ribosomal RNA", at positions 2790 to 2925 of the family's 2925-position model. Lineage: Bacteria; Bacillati; Actinomycetota; Acidimicrobiia; Acidimicrobiales. The record is from RNAcentral.
AAACCCGUUUCAAGAUGAAUUCUGCCAUAUUAAGUAAGGCCUGUAGUAGGUGACUACGUUGAUAGGCCGGACGUGGAAGCGUGGUAACACGUGAAGCUGACCGGUACUAAUCGGCCGAGCGGCUUUUUUCUA